UUUAGACGGUAGGGUAUUGGCCUACCGUGGCUAUGACGGGUAACGGGGAAUUAGGGUUCGAUUCCGGAGAGGGAGCCUGAGAAACGGCUACCACAUCUAAGGAAGGCAGCAGGCGCGCAAAUUACCCAAUCCUAAUACAGGGAGGUAAUGACAAGAAAUAACAAUACAGAACCUUACGGUUUUGUAAUUGGAAUGAGUUAAGUAUAAACCCCUUAACAAGUAUCAAUUGGAGGGCAAGUCUGGUGCCAGCAGCCGCGGUAAUUCCAGCUCCAAUAGCGUAUAUUAAAGUUGUUGCAGUUAAAAAGCUCGUAGUUAAUCUUCUGUUAAUUUUUAUAUAUAAUAUCACGAUAUUUAUAUAAUAUUAACAUAAUUCAUAUUACUUUUUAGUAUAUGAAACUUUACUUUGAGAAAAUUAGAGUGCUUAAAGCAGGCUAUUGCCUUGAAUACUCCAGCAUGGAAUAAUAUUAAGGAUUUUUAUUCUUCUUAUUGGUUCUAGAAUAAAAAUGAUGAUUAAUAGGGACAGUUGGGGGCAUUUGUAUUUAACAGUCAGAGGUGAAAUUCUUAGAUUUGUUAAAGACAAACUACUGCGAAAGCAUUUGCCAAGGAUGUUUUCAUUAAUCAAGAACGAAAGUUAGGGGAUCGAAGACGAUCAGAUACCGUCGUAGUCUU
RNAcentral lists this ribosomal RNA (669 nucleotides) under Cryptosporidium bovis. RNAcentral describes it as "SSU rRNA". It matches the Rfam family "Eukaryotic small subunit ribosomal RNA", at positions 320 to 1027 of the family's 1831-position model. Lineage: Eukaryota; Apicomplexa; Conoidasida; Eucoccidiorida; Cryptosporidiidae. The record is from RNAcentral.